Molecule: long non-coding RNA, 4904 nt
Organism: Gopherus evgoodei (Goodes thornscrub tortoise)
Lineage: Eukaryota; Metazoa; Chordata; Testudines; Testudinidae
Exons: 2
Source: RefSeq, a predicted model, not a curated record
UAGAUGACCUCCUGAGGUCCUUUCCAGCCAUUCUAAGCAAUUCUACGUGAAGUGGAUAAGCUAUGAGAAAUGGGGCAUGCUAAGUUAGUAAAGUGUGGAAGUACAAAUAAGAAACAGGGGCGAUACUCUUACUCUGAUGCAUAAGCACAGCGGGGGUAACAGGAUAAAACGUCUAGCCCAGGCUGAGUGUGGAAGGAAGCAUGUCAGGGACACCCAAUAGGAAGGCCACUUGACGAUCUUUUUACCCAUCUUGAUGUUGCCCUAAGGGAUGAGAAUAUGAAAUCCUUGAUGCUGGACAUCUCAUUGUUUCUCUCUCUCUCUCUGUUUCAGUAGUUGGGGCAUUGUUCAUCUGCUUAAUUAAAUUGUUAAUAAGAGAAUGUGUGAUAACCUGUGACCAUAUGUCAUACACUCACAGUUCGUCCUCCUAGAGUCUCUAAACCUAAUAGAAUGCCUAAUGGUGAUUCUCACUCUACUGAUCCCCAUACUGUAGGUGUUCAGGAGGCUGAAUCCUUAGCACAAGUCACUGUGGCUUAAGAUGCCCAUUCGUAGUACCAACCCAAACGUAUCAAAUUAACCAGGCUACACUUCCCUCACAGGGGUUCUGGGAAGUUUAAUUAGUUAAGCCUGUAAAAGCACUUUGAGAUCCUGACAUGAGAGGUACAAAGUAUUAUUAUAUACACACCUGUCUACAAGCCACUGAUAUCUAACUUUAAUCUGACUAAAUAUUCAUUGGUAAAGUAGUAGAGCUGCGCAGAGGCAGAAGUUUCAUUUCACUAAGGAUUUCAGGAUUUGGAAAUGUGGCUUCAUUCCACACAAAAUUCUUCAUUUUGGGAUAAUCAAAACAUUUCAUUUCAAUUUUUUGAAAUUUAGAAUUACAAACACAAAAUAAAAGUUUUGGAAACGCUGUUUCAGAAGAAAAAAUGGAUCUGUUUCCUUCCAAAUACGUUGGAAACUGAUUCAACAUUGUCAAACUUUUUCCUGGUUUUCUUCUGAAAAGAAAUUCAAGUGAAAUCCACCGUAUUUCGCACAGGGUUUAGAUUUUGAUUGAACUGGAUAUUCUGCUGGAAACUGGGUUGGUCAAUGUUUUUUUCCUCCAACCAGCUCUACGAUGCAGCCUUCAGCUUUGGUACUGGAUAAUUAGGUAGGUGUCUGUAAUAAAGUCAAAUGCACCAUAGUCUAAUGCUGUCAUUUUACAGUCAGCCACAUCCAUGACUGCUUAGACUCUUCACGACAUAGGGUCCAAUCGAAAGCCCCCCACUGGCUUCCUUACUCUCCCUAGCUGGCCUAGUCAUCCAAAAUGGGGUUUUGAGAGUAAUCCAGAACUGGUGGAUUUGGCACAAAUGUCUCAAAUCACAUCUCCUGGUUCUUAUAGCCUGUAUCCCUUUCAAUGGAGGAAUCUUGUUGCCAUCCAACCUAGACAUCACCCAGAAGGGUAUUAACUGAUUCCAGGGAAAUAAAAUGCACUGAAAGCUAAAAGCCAGCUGCUGACUUGGCUCUCUUUCAGGGAGUGUGAUUGAUUUCAUGUUUCUUCUCUCCUAAAAGGUGACAGAUUCCGGCCUGGAAAUCCACCUUCUUAUGGAAUUAUUUUUUAUAAUUCAUUUAUAGGAUUUUAACUAGAUCUUGAACAAGGAAUAACUAUAAACCACAGAAGAGGUUAUGCCAUGAAUCCAGCAAAUAAUGCCCACAGGUCAAAAAUAACCAAGAGAAGAGGAAGCAAACCAAAUGAGAGGCAAAUAUUUUUUCAUUAUUCUUCACAUGCUUUUAAAAUAGACCAUAGUUUAGUCAAGAGGAAACAAAGCAUAACUUUAGCGCACUAUGUAUUACCUCUUCUAAUAAUGCACAGGAAAUUUGUGUCAAACACUGAUACUACCAGAAACACUGAAGCAAAACCAUACGUUUCCAAAUAAGUCUCAAGAAAGAGAAAUCAAGCCACUCAUUAAGAAGACCACCGUCCUGACACCAAUUGAAAUCCAACACAGUUCUUAGGGUGUUCAAGUUCUAGGAGUGACUGUUAUAAAAACUGGUAAAAAAGGGAAAUUAUUCUGUGCGGUAGUUUACGUAAAGUUUCCAGUGCACAGUACAGCAGCAAGAUCACUGGUGUGGGAUUCCUCUUCCCUGUCUGAUGAAAUAGCCACUAUCGACGCUGCAGAACAUUUCGCCUUAUCCCACUCAACCUUUUUCUCCCUAAUUUGAAUCAGAAUAUUCUUGAAAAGGAGAUGAAAACAACAGCUCCCCAUCCUCACGAGUUCUUUCUUCAUUAGUGCUUCUUUGUUCAGAAUCAUUAAUGUUAUGACUGAGUAGAUGUUGCCAUCCCUAGUAAAAAAUAAUAUAUUCUCAACCUUCCAAAAGUUACCCACCUUAUCAGCUUCACUUUACAAAGUGGGACAUGGCUUUGGGCAGUCGUUACUAAAGAUAGUGACUGAGGGGGUAUCCCAUAUCUCAGUAAAAGGCUUCAAUGCGCAGGGUUCUGAGAACUGCUAGCUCCCAUUGAUGUUAAUAGCAUCUGAAAAUGCUCAGAACCUUGCAGGAUCCGAUGCUAAAAUGAACAUCCCCUGAAGUCCAACAGUCUCCUCCACAUUAGUAUUAGUUCUAGGUCCAUUAGUAAAAACCCACUAGCCUCUGUCAACCUCAAUACCCAUCUGAGGACUCCAUCCCAAGGCCUGGGUCAACAUUUUAUUAGCAAAUGCACAGCUGUCAUUGCCUUCCGUUCUGGCAGGUCAGUUCAGAACCUUUGCCUUUUCACUUUUAAUACUGCUUUCCAAGGAUUCACGUUUAAAAUGCAGAGGCAUGUUAUCUUUCAUCACCAUAUUCAACACAGUUUGCAGGGCAUUAACCUUGGGUGUAAGUAUUUGGAACUGAUCUGCUGGUAUCCAAUUCCAGUGCGCAGAUACCAAAUUGUUGGUCCACAGAGACUAAUUUGCCACCGAGAUAAUCCAUUUGUUGCUGCAGGUUUUCAAAUCAAGCCUCCAAUUUUGGAGCCAUAGACUGUGAAUAUUGUAGGACUUUUCCCACGAUUAUUAGUUACAGCAAUUUCAGAAGCUUCUUUCCAUUGAGGGGCUGAUAACAUAGCCUCGGGGGUGAGGAAGGGGCCAUCUCUGGAGUGUCCUGGCUCAGCUAAUUGGAAAUUAAAGUCAAGGAAGGAAUUCCCUGGAUUCUCAGCCUGGGCAGCUUUUAAGCUUAUGCCACUUGGGAGGCAUACUUAAAUAUAAAGAAGGAAACAUCACAUACCAGUGAAUGAACUCAAGACAUAAGUCCUCUCUCUGUCUGUGUUAUGUGCUGCUCCAAACUACACAUCUUAAAAGAGCAAAACACCAAGAAACCAUCACUGCUAAUAACAGCCCAGCCAGUCAGCCAGACUCACCUGCCUUCUUUGAAAGGCUGCCAACAGCCACAAGAAAACCAACUCCUGCCUCAGUGCGGGCAGUUCCCAAACCACAGAGGUCACUGUGAGCGCACUGACUCACAGCUGGAGCCUGGAUCAAACAUGCAUCGAGGGUCCUAUAUAAAUACUAAGAGCAGGAUUUACCAAUAUGUUCUGGCUGCUUUGUGCUGCUACAGUGACGCAAGCCAACCACAAGCACAGCUUACCCGGCCAGGUAAGCCAAGUUUACAGCUGCUCUGUGUGACCAGAGUGGUGGAAAAGUUGGAGCUCAUCGCUGAAUUUGUCCCAAUGUGAGGUAUUUAUUUGUAUGACAGUAGUGUGUAAAGGGCCCCAUUAUAAUGGAACCCUCUCCCCCCGCCCCCAACACAGUAAGAUAGGCACUGCCCCAAAGAGCUUGCAAUCGAAACAGGCAAGAUAAAGGGUGGAGGAGAACAAAGGCAGAGAAAGGGGAGGUGACUUUCCCAGGGUCAUGCAGCAGGUCACUGGCUGAGCUGGGAUUAGAACUCUCCAGAUUUCCAGUCCCAUCCUAGACUGUGCUGCAUCUCUCAGAGCUGUAAUAGCACCUGGCCAGAAUCCUGCCAUUCACCCCAACUGGUUUUCACUUUGCUCAGGAGAAGAGAGGCAGGUUUCUAACACUAGUGCUGGCAUCUGGAUUGCUGUGCUCUUAGUUUUGUCAGCCUCAGAAAAUACACACUGCACACGCUGAUCAAACACCUUUUCAGUUUAUUCUUCAGUUCCCCUGGGCCCAGAACAACAUUAAAAACUGUCCACCUUUGAAAGAGGCAUUGAUUAAAAAUACUUCUUAACAAUCCAGCUAUGGAGCUAAUUUCCAUUUCCUACAAUUAUUAUUUUAAUUUAAAGCAGUAGCUCCUUCAUAUUAAAUUUCUGUCUCUUAUAAAGAAACAAGUGCAGAGCAGAGAAUUAAACAAAUAUCACUUUCUGCUGGGGCUCCACACUUCCUGAGAACGACACUUACAGGAAUGCCAGCCCCAGAAUGCUGAGUGCGGCACCUGGACAGUUUGCAUUGUGAGAAGAGUUCCCCACAGAGCAUAAACUAGGAACACUGCCAAGACUAAAGAUCCUGAUGCAAAUGGGCCUUUCGAGCCUCCAACUGGCUGUGCCCAUGUGACUGAAAAGUGACUUCCUUUGGCAGGCUGGAAGCAUGACCAAAUCCCUGUCUGAACCCAGAUUUUCUGAAGUGAAUGGAUCAUGGACUAAGCCACUGAGGGCCAUUCCUGGGUCCCAAAGGGACUCCGUGUAAUACUGUCGGGAAAUUUAGCACUUACAUCACACUUUUCAUCUUCAAAGUGCAUUACAAACAUUACCUAGCUCAUGCUCACAACAGCUCUGUUUGCAGAUUCAUGCUUGACAAAUACAGGGCAUUCUCCCGCUUGGAACCUGCUGGUUAAUAUUAGGCUAUUGUAGGGAAUGUUUGCAUCAGGGAGACACAGAGCCUGUGGGUGCAGGGACCAUUGUGAUAGGUGCUCUGUACACACACUAAAAAAGAGAAAAAGAAAAAAAA